Molecule: ribosomal RNA, 513 nt
Filed under: uncultured bacterium
Lineage: Bacteria
Description: bacterial SSU rRNA
Rfam family: Bacterial small subunit ribosomal RNA
Source: RNAcentral
GGAGUACGGUCGCAAGAUUAAAACUCAAAGGAAUUGACGGGGACCCGCACAAGCGGUGGAUGAUGUGGAUUAAUUCGAUGCUACGCGAUAUACCUUACCUACCCUUGACAUGCGCAAGAACCUUGCUGAAAGGCGAGGGUGCCCGAAAGGGAGCUUGGACACAGGUGCUGCAUGGCUGUCGUCAGCUCGUGUCGUGAGAUGUUGGGUUAAGUCCCGCAACGAGCGCAACCCUUGUCCUUAGUUGCUACGCAAGAGCACUCUAAGGAGACUGCCGGUGACAAACCGGAGGAAGGUGGGGAUGACGUCAAGUCCUCAUGGCCCUUAUGGGUAGGGCUUCACACGUCAUACAAUGGUCGGUACAGAGGGCUGCCAACCCGCGAGGGGGAGCCAAUCCCAGAAAACCGAUCGUAGUCCGGAUUGCAGUCUGCAACUCGACUGCAUGAAGUCGGAAUCGCUAGUAAUCGCGGAUCAGCAUGUCGCGGUGAUACGUUCCCGGGUCUUGUACACACCGCC